AUUGAACGCUGGCGGCAGGCCUAACACAUGCAAGUCGAGCGGAGCGGCGGACGGGUGAGUAAUGCAUCGGAAUCUGCCUGGUAGUGGGGGAUAACUACGGGAAACGGGCGCUAAUACCGCAUACUAUCAGAUCAGCCUAGGUCGGAUUAGCUAGUUGGUGGGGUAAAGGCCAACCAAGGCGACGAUCCGUAGCUGGUUUGAGAGGAUGACCAGUCACACUGGAACUGAGACACGGUCCAGACGCCUACGGGAGGCAGCAGUGGGGAAUGUUGGACAAUGGGCGAAAGCCUGAUCCAGCCAUGCCGCGUGUGUGAAGAAGGGCUUCGGGUUGUAAAGCACUUUAGGUUGGGAGGCGUUACCAACAGAAUAAGCACCGGCUAACUACGUGCCAGCAGCCGCGGUAAUAC
RNAcentral lists this ribosomal RNA (407 nucleotides) under uncultured bacterium. RNAcentral describes it as "partial 16S ribosomal RNA". It matches the Rfam family "Bacterial small subunit ribosomal RNA", at positions 30 to 526 of the family's 1533-position model. The record is from RNAcentral.